Molecule: ribosomal RNA, 1420 nt
Filed under: Klebsiella pneumoniae
Lineage: Bacteria; Pseudomonadati; Pseudomonadota; Gammaproteobacteria; Enterobacterales; Enterobacteriaceae
Description: bacterial SSU rRNA
Rfam family: Bacterial small subunit ribosomal RNA
Source: RNAcentral
CCAUGCAAGUCGAGCGGUAGCACAGAGAGCUUGCUCUCGGGUGACGAGCGGCGGACGGGUGAGUAAUGUCUGGGAAACUGCCUGAUGGAGGGGGAUAACUACUGGAAACGGUAGCUAAUACCGCAUAAUGUCGCAAGACCAAAGUGGGGGACCUUCGGGCCUCAUGCCAUCAGAUGUGCCCAGAUGGGAUUAGCUAGUAGGUGGGGUAACGGCUCACCUAGGCGACGAUCCCUAGCUGGUCUGAGAGGAUGACCAGCCACACUGGAACUGAGACACGGUCCAGACUCCUACGGGAGGCAGCAGUGGGGAAUAUUGCACAAUGGGCGCAAGCCUGAUGCAGCCAUGCCGCGUGUGUGAAGAAGGCCUUCGGGUUGUAAAGCACUUUCAGCGGGGAGGAAGGCGGUGAGGUUAAUAACCUCAUCGAUUGACGUUACCCGCAGAAGAAGCACCGGCUAACUCCGUGCCAGCAGCCGCGGUAAUACGGAGGGUGCAAGCGUUAAUCGGAAUUACUGGGCGUAAAGCGCACGCAGGCGGUCUGUCAAGUCGGAUGUGAAAUCCCCGGGCUCAACCUGGGAACUGCAUUCGAAACUGGCAGGCUAGAGUCUUGUAGAGGGGGGUAGAAUUCCAGGUGUAGCGGUGAAAUGCGUAGAGAUCUGGAGGAAUACCGGUGGCGAAGGCGGCCCCCUGGACAAAGACUGACGCUCAGGUGCGAAAGCGUGGGGAGCAAACAGGAUUAGAUACCCUGGUAGUCCACGCCGUAAACGAUGUCGAUUUGGAGGUUGUGCCCUUGAGGCGUGGCUUCCGGAGCUAACGCGUUAAAUCGACCGCCUGGGGAGUACGGCCGCAAGGUUAAAACUCAAAUGAAUUGACGGGGGCCCGCACAAGCGGUGGAGCAUGUGGUUUAAUUCGAUGCAACGCGAAGAACCUUACCUGGUCUUGACAUCCACAGAACUUAGCAGAGAUGCUUUGGUGCCUUCGGGAACUGUGAGACAGGUGCUGCAUGGCUGUCGUCAGCUCGUGUUGUGAAAUGUUGGGUUAAGUCCCGCAACGAGCGCAACCCUUAUCCUUUGUUGCCAGCGGUUCGGCCGGGAACUCAAAGGAGACUGCCAGUGAUAAACUGGAGGAAGGUGGGGAUGACGUCAAGUCAUCAUGGCCCUUACGACCAGGGCUACACACGUGCUACAAUGGCAUAUACAAAGAGAAGCGACCUCGCGAGAGCAAGCGGACCUCAUAAAGUAUGUCGUAGUCCGGAUUGGAGUCUGCAACUCGACUCCAUGAAGUCGGAAUCGCUAGUAAUCGUAGAUCAGAAUGCUACGGUGAAUACGUUCCCGGGCCUUGUACACACCGCCCGUCACACCAUGGGAGUGGGUUGCAAAAGAAGUAGGUAGCUUAACCUUCGGGAGGGCGCUACCACUUUUGA